This 408-nucleotide ribosomal RNA is filed under the name uncultured bacterium. RNAcentral's name for it is "partial 16S ribosomal RNA". It matches the Rfam family "Bacterial small subunit ribosomal RNA", at positions 28 to 526 of the family's 1533-position model. The record is from RNAcentral.
GACGAACGCUGGCGGCGUGCUUAACACAUGCAAGUCGAACGAAGUGGCGAACGGGUGAGUAACGCGUAAUCAACCUGCCCUUCAGAGGGGGACAACAGUUGGAAACGACUGCUAAUACCGCAUACUGAAGGAGGGGAUUGCGUCUGAUUAGCUGGUUGAAGGGGUAACGGCCCACCAAGGGGAUGAUCAGUAGCCGGUCGUAGAGUGUGACCAUCCACGUUGGGACUGAGACACGGCCCAGACUCCUCCGUUUGCCGCCCCUAUUUCCUCUUCCUCACUCUACAAAAGUCUGACCCCACAACGCCGCGUGAGUGAUGACUUCCUUCAUGUUCUCCAGCUCUGUUAAUCGGGACGCGGUACCGGAAUAGAAAGCCACGGCUAACUACGUGCCAGCAGCCGCGGUAAUAC